Molecule: long non-coding RNA, 619 nt
Organism: Centruroides sculpturatus (bark scorpion)
Lineage: Eukaryota; Metazoa; Arthropoda; Arachnida; Scorpiones; Buthidae
Exons: 3
Source: RefSeq, a predicted model, not a curated record
AGAAGAGUGUUUUCCGUAAGGAUUUUUAAAAGGAAACUUUCUUCUCUUUCGGUACUAGCUCGGGUAUUCGGCUUCGCUCAGGGAGUCGAAAUGAAAUUGUGUGGUAGUUGAAAUAAAAAGAUAAACUUUAAAAUAUAAGAGACGUGGAGAACACUCGGAAAACGUCACGUGGCUAACCUGUUUAAGCGUGGUGCGGACCCACGGCCAAACUUUCAGUGUUUAGGGGUCGUCCAUUCAAAGUACCAGGACGAAGUCUGCUCGGCCACGGAGAGGUUCCAGUUAGAAAAACCCGUUUCAAAAGUAGCAGAGUCGAGUUGGUAUUCCAUCAGUCUGGGUAUAACGCAUAUUGUUGAUGUAAACCUGCUGAUGAAAGACAUUGUGGUUUGAAACACAAAUAUGAUGUGUGCAGGUGAAAUAGGUGAUCAAUAAAGAUUGUUUUUCUGAUUAAAACUUUCUCAUUUUACAGAAAUGAAAUAUUAGUACAAUAAGUCAUAGUAAUAUAAUAAGUUCUAGUAGACAUAAAUAUGAUACAUCGUAUUAAAUAAAGAGAUAAAUUCAAUUGUAGUAAUGUGUUUUUGUACAAUGUCAUUACUUGGUGAAGUUAAUAAAUAAAGCAAUU